This is a long non-coding RNA of Corticium candelabrum, 1183 nucleotides long. RefSeq lists it as uncharacterized. The record is from RefSeq and is a predicted model, not a curated record. NCBI's taxonomy places the organism in Eukaryota, Metazoa, Porifera, Homoscleromorpha, Homosclerophorida, Plakinidae. The transcript is spliced from 5 exons.
UUCCUUUCCGCCUCUAGAUGUUCAAUUCGUUGUAGUCUGGAUCAUGAGUUGGUGUGGGUGUUCCGCAACUCCCUUUGAGUCGAGAAGUCUCAACAGCUCGAUCAACACAUGAAAUGCUAAAGAAGCAGAUGCAGAAAACACGACUUGGAUGAUGAACAUGAUGAAGCAGCCUAAUGCAGUUUGGGAAAAAAUUAAAGUCGUCAUGGUAGAUAAGGACAUUCAAGAAAGAGAUGUUGUCAAGAAGUGUCUGCCAAAAGCUUCAGUUGUUAUAUGCCUUUUUCAUACCCUUUACUUGUUCAAUCGAGAAGUUACUUGUGAAAAAAUGGGCAGCACAUCAGGGCAGUGAAUCGUUUGCCUGGAACUGUUGCAGAAGAUGGCAUAUGCAAGAUGAGAGGCUGAGUAUACCACACUCUACUUGCAACUACAAAGAGAUGCCUCAAAAGAGUUUAGAGGCGGCAGUUUUCUGAAUUUCACCAACAAUAAUCGUCUUGAAAGUAUCAACGGCAAACUGAAACAAGUCAUGAAGAUACAACAAAGUCGAAACAAGCUUUAGGUAUGGAACUACCUCCACCUGUAAAGAAAAGAGGGCGCCCAAAUGGUCAUGCUUUGACAACAAUUGGGUUGCCAGCCAAGUGUUCUAAAUGAACAAAAGCAAACAAGCCAUGCAGUUUCAGUAAACUACACGUAUCUGACAAAAGAGAAUAAUUAUGGCCUGGUUUGUGGACAAGGAAGUCGCAGACAAAGCAAUAAGAUAUGACAUCUUGAUUGAAGAAGAACAAGUUGACUGCAGAUCUGAAAAAGUCCCAGACGCUACAGUAAACGAAGACAUCAAUGUCUGCCUUGUCUGCUGCCACUUUUCUGCUGAUGCUUGGCUAGUAAUUGAAGAUCUAAUGAAGCAGAAAGUAGAGAAGAUGACAUGGAUAUGUCAUGCAUGCUUUCACGAUCUCCACACCGAACAAGCUAUCCUCUGUGACUCCUGUUUGAAGUGGUUUCACUUCAGUUGUGUGGGGAUAACAAAAUUUCCAAAGUCACGGAACUAGUUCUGUCCUCCUUGCUACUGUUCUGCUCUUCAAAGCACUGAAGUAGAUAUCUUUAGUGUAGAUAGUAGAUUAGGCUAAUUAGUUACUGAUGCCUGAAGUUACGCACGUGCAAGCGUCAUGUGAUCGAGCAAUGACAGUUAGAA